Molecule: ribosomal RNA, 405 nt
Filed under: uncultured bacterium
Lineage: Bacteria
Description: bacterial SSU rRNA
Rfam family: Bacterial small subunit ribosomal RNA
Source: RNAcentral
UGGGGAAUAUUGCGCAAUGGGCGAAAGCCUGACGCAGCGACGCCGCGUGUGGGAUGAAGGUCUUCGGAUUGUAAACCACUGUCGCGAGGGACGAAAAUCUGACGGUACCUCGAAAGGAAGCACCGGCUAACUCUGUGCCAGCAGCCGCGGUAAUACAGAGGGUGCGAGCGUUGUCCGGAAUCACUGGGCGUAAAGGGCGCGUAGGCGGCCGGAUAAGUAGGAGGUGAAAUCUCACAGCUUAACUGUGAGGCUGCCUUCUAGACUGUCUGGCUUGAGCACGGUAGAGGCUGGUGGAAUUCCCGGUGUAGCGGUGGAAUGCGUAGAGAUCGGGAAGAACAUCGGUGGCGAAGGCGGCCAGCUGGGCCGUUGCUGACGCUGAUGCGCGAAAGCGUGGGGAGCAAACAG